UACUGCUCCUGCUUUCUAUAAAACUUCUCUUUUCAAAUGCCAUGUGUCAUGUUCCCUUUAAGGAGACUUUUCAGAGAAGAUAAUUGUACAAAACCAUGGUGCUUACACUUUGUUAAAGCUAACAGGCCUUAUAUGCAUAUUGAAAUUAAAUUUACAAAGUAGUGGGUUGAGAUGGUUUUCAAAUAUGCAUGAGUGAAUGUCAUCACCAUUAGCAACUGAAAUUUCAUUGAAAUGUCUUUUUUUCAUAAACAUAAUCUGGGUAUUUGAAGAGUGUCUUGUGCUAAAUGAGAGUGUGAAUUAUAAAUGGGUGUGGAUAAUGGGAAGUCACAUUUGCCCAUGGCUUGCAUCGUGAGCUGCUUUGAGAAAAGAUUGAUUGGGUUUUUGAAAUUCCAUCUUUUGUUGUCUCCUGUGGACACCAUUCUUCUUUGUACCUCUCCUCUCUCACCUGCUUUGCAGCACUGACCAUUAAGCCACCAGAUGGAGAACACACCACUGCGGGCACAAGAUCCAUGCAGGCAGCCUUGUACCACCGCUGCCUGCCAGGAAAGGGCACCAGAAAGCACCACUUCCUCCAAGAAGCAGCAGCCACAAGGCUGAAACACUGCCAACAGCCCCAGAGCACUCCAGGGAAAGGGCUGCAACAGCCACUGUGGACAGCUGGAACAUCCUGUAGCAGCAGGACACCAUAACCUCGGCAGGGUGGGUCUGUACCCUUCCUCUGCAAGCAAGAAAGCUGAGAGCAGCUCUCCUGAUCCUGGCCCGAGUAUUUAUGACAAAACAAUGAUUCAGUGCCUUUGUGCCCACAGCAGGCAGCUGCCUUGCCUUCAACCUCACACUGCAACAGGAGAAAGGAACAAGACAGACCUAAGCAGGGUUGUGGAAUCUGGGUGCUCCAUGUGAUGGAUUCCUCCCAGCUGGGUGUCACAGCCGUGCAGGAGCAGCGCUGAGCUGGCACUGGGAUAAUGCAGAGAGUGCAAGCAACUUCCCAUGGUGAUCCACCUUGGCAGCAGCAAAACUGACAGAAGUGAACUGUGGCCUCCUACUGCAGCAGGCUGAGCACGACCCUGUCUUGAAGCUACGCUUCAAUGUCCCUUCAAGGAAGCUGGUCCGUCUCCUCUCCAGAGUGUGACUGCUGCUGCUGCUCUUUGUUGAGUGCAGUAUUUUGGAUUUCAGCCUGUUAACUGGGUAGAUUCCAU
This is a long non-coding RNA of Pyrgilauda ruficollis (rufous-necked snowfinch), 1196 nucleotides long. RefSeq lists it as uncharacterized. The record is from RefSeq and is a predicted model, not a curated record. The transcript is spliced from 5 exons. NCBI's taxonomy places the organism in Eukaryota, Metazoa, Chordata, Aves, Passeriformes, Passeridae.